AUGAUUGCUGUCAAGAGGUUUAUCUACAAUGUAAGAGAAAGUUUUGCCAAAGAGUUGAUCGUCCACCGUGAAAUCAAUCACAAGAAUGUAGUCAGAUUAGUCGGCUACUGUGCAGAUGAAAAUGCCCAAAUGGUGGUCACGGAGUAUAUUCCUAAAGGAAAUCUGAGUAACAUUCUUCACCAUGAUAAUAUUCCUAUCGCUUUGGAUAUAAGGCUAAGAAUUGCCAUUGAAUGCGCUGAAGCAUUGGCCUAUAUGCACUCACAAAUGUAUACCCAGGUCAUUCAUGGUGAUAUCAAGCCUGCUAAUAUACUUCUGGAUGAUGAACUCAGAGCAAAAAUAUCAGACUUUGGAAUAUCAAGACUAGUCAACACUGAAAAGACUCUAUAUACUCUAAAUGUGAUAGGAAGUAUAGGCUACAUGGACCCUCUGUUUGCUCAGAAUGGUCGCCUCACAGCAAAGAGUGAUGUUUAUAGUUUUGGAGUUGUGCUCCUGGAACUGAUAACCAGAAAAAAAGCAAGAACAGAGGAUGGGGAGAUUGGCUUGGUGGAAAGUUUUAUUCGAUCUCUUUCAAAAGAGUUUAGGAGGGUGAGGGAAAUGUUUGAUUUUACAAUUGCAACAUCGAGCAACAUGAAGACUAUCGAUGAGAUUGCCAAGUUGGCAGUGAAAGGCCAAGUUUUUGAGCUGGACGAGUUGCUGCGGGCAUCAACUGAAGUGCUGGGCAAGGGUACAGUAGGGCUAACAUACAAAGCGACAUUUUAUAGUGGAUAUGAGCUGGUGGUCAAGAGGCUGAAAGAUGUGGACUUAGGGGAGGCGAUCUUUGAGCGGCUUGUCACACUGCUUGGCGCUAUCCAGAACAAACACAUAGUGCCACUGCUGUGGUAUUACUGUGACAAGGAUGAGAAGUUGCUGGUGUAUAAUGUCAUCCCCAUGGGUAGCCUAGCAAAAGUGCUCCACGGUGACCGAGGUUCUGGCCCAGCUCCACUGGACUGGGAGCAGCGGUUGGCUAUCUCACUAGCUGCUGCGCAUGGUGUGCAGGCUAUCCACUUAGCUGGACCAACGAGCUGCCAUGGCAACAUCAAGUCUUCUAACAUCCUGCUCACCGGUACCCACGACGCAUGUGUGUCGGAGCAUGGCCUGAUAACACUUGGCAUGUAUUCCAAUGCCCCCGGCUACCGUGCACCUGAGGUCACCCGCAAUAGGUGGGUCUCCCAGGAAUCUGACAUGUACAGCUUCGGCAUCCUACUGCUGGAGCUUCUCACCCACAAGUCUCCACUGGAGAAGAGAUUUCAGAACGGCGGGGGAGUAGAUUUGCCACGGUGGGUGUGUUCCAUUAUACCUGAGGAGUGGACGGCGGAGGUAUUCGACGUGGAGCUCCUAGCACGGGGGCAGAAGGAUGGGAAAGAGGAGUGCAUGGUGCGACUUAUGCAGCUCGGGCUAAAGUGUUGCAGUCAAGAUGUUGACUCGAGGCCUACAAUGUCUGAUGUCGUGCAGCGGAUUGAGGAGAUUGGACAGUCCUAG
RNAcentral lists this ribosomal RNA (1518 nucleotides) under Triticum aestivum (bread wheat). RNAcentral describes it as "partial small subunit ribosomal RNA". The record is from RNAcentral. Lineage: Eukaryota; Viridiplantae; Streptophyta; Magnoliopsida; Poales; Poaceae.